CUUUCUUUGCUGGCGACCGGCGCACGGGUGAGUAACACGUAUCCAACCUGCCCUUUACUCGGGGAUAGCCUUUCGAAAGAAAGAUUAAUACCCGAUAGCAUAAUGAUUCCGCAUGGUUUCAUUAUUAAAGGAUUCCGGUAAAGGAUGGGGAUGCGUUCCAUUAGGUUGUUGGUGAGGUAACGGCUCACCAAGCCUUCGAUGGAUAGGGGUUCUGAGAGGAAGGUCCCCCACAUUGGAACCGAGACACGGUCCAA
This 254-nucleotide ribosomal RNA is filed under the name uncultured bacterium. Its description in RNAcentral is "partial 16S ribosomal RNA". It matches the Rfam family "Bacterial small subunit ribosomal RNA", at positions 79 to 334 of the family's 1533-position model. The record is from RNAcentral.